UGAUAUACUAUAAGUACGUAAGCAAGUUUAUGGUGGUGGCUAGCUCUUUCAACAAGAAAGGGUGAUGCCUAUGACUUUUUUGUUAGGAACUCCUGGAAAGGAUAACCCUUGACCGUUUAUGAAGCACUCUCUUUUGCAGUUGCUUUUACAACUUUAGUGUUGUUACUAAACAG
Molecule: small RNA, 173 nt
Filed under: Listeria innocua
Lineage: Bacteria; Bacillati; Bacillota; Bacilli; Caryophanales; Listeriaceae
Description: Listeria sRNA rli28
Rfam family: Listeria sRNA rli28
Source: RNAcentral